UGGUGGAGUGAUUUGUCUGGUUAAUUCCGUUAACGAACGAGACCCCCGCCUGCUAAUUAGUUUGGUUAAUGCUUCGCAUUGAUUCAAGCUUCUUAGAGGGACUUGCGGUGACUAACCGAAGGAAGUUGGGGCAAUAACA
This 139-nucleotide ribosomal RNA is filed under the name uncultured eukaryote. Its description in RNAcentral is "partial 18S ribosomal RNA". It matches the Rfam family "Eukaryotic small subunit ribosomal RNA", at positions 1299 to 1458 of the family's 1831-position model. The record is from RNAcentral.